CUAAAAAUUAGUUAAUCUAAAUAACGUUAGUUUGUCAAACUAAAAUAAUCUAUCCUGAUAUUUUUA
Molecule: transfer RNA, 66 nt
Filed under: Cherax destructor
Lineage: Eukaryota; Metazoa; Arthropoda; Malacostraca; Decapoda; Parastacidae
Description: tRNA-Asp
Source: RNAcentral